RNAcentral lists this long non-coding RNA (400 nucleotides) under Elaeis guineensis (African oil palm). RNAcentral's name for it is "long non-coding RNA (EGUI_LNC058219)". The record is from RNAcentral. Lineage: Eukaryota; Viridiplantae; Streptophyta; Magnoliopsida; Arecales; Arecaceae.
UGGGGUGUCCUAUGAUCAUUUUGGUCAAGGGGAUGAAUUAUAUGAAAACUAUAUCCGCAUGGGUUCUAAGGAUGUUGUUCUACACAUUCGACCUAUCCGGUCGUCGGGUACCAUUGCUAGAUGGUCACUUCGAUUGGUACAGAAAUUUAUUCCUACUACCGGCUUAGGUUCGGACCUAUGAGGUCACAAACAUUAGAGUUCAUGAUCCGAUCGGAUGGUUGAUCAACGAUUAAGAAUCGUUCUAGGGUUAAAUGAUCAAUACGAUUGACAUUUAACCCAGUGCAAGUAUUGUAGGAGGAUCGAUUAGCAAUUCGAUUGCUAAUUGGCUUAAUUUGAUUAAGCCAAUGGGCUGAGAUUAAGUCUAAUUAAAUAUAAUUUAAUUAGAUUUAUAUUGGACUUG